GACGAACGCUGGCGGCGUGCUUAACACAUGCAAGUCGAACGGAAAGGCCCUGCUUUUGUGGGUUGCUCGAUUGGCGAACGGGUGAGUAACACGUGAGUAACCUCCCCUUGACUUUCGGAUAACUUCAGGAAACUGGGGCUAAUACCGCAUAUGAUCUCCUGCUCCAUGGUGUGCGUUGGAAAGUUUCGGCGUUUGGGGAUGGACUCGCGGCUUAUCAGCUUGAUGGUGUGGUAGUUGCUUACCAAGGCUUUGACGGGUAGCCGGCCUGAGAGGGUGACCGGCCACAUUGGGACUGAGAUACGGCCCAGACUCCUACGGGAGGCAGCAGUGGAGAAUAUUGCACAAUGGGCGGAAGCCUGAUGCAGCAACGCCGCGUGCGGGAUGACGGCCUUCGGGUUGUAAACCGCUUUCGCCUGUGACGAAGCGUGAGUGACGGUAAUGGGUAAAGAAGCACCGGCUAACUACGUG
This 468-nucleotide ribosomal RNA is filed under the name uncultured bacterium. Its description in RNAcentral is "partial 16S ribosomal RNA". It matches the Rfam family "Bacterial small subunit ribosomal RNA", at positions 28 to 507 of the family's 1533-position model. The record is from RNAcentral.